UAUUGAAACUGUAGGCAUCAAUUACAAAAUAUUUUGAUUUUAUAGAUGGCAAUGCAUGUCGUUUUUUCACUUCAGAACGUUUAAUGAAGUCAGUUAUACAGCUCUUAUAAAACAGUUUUUAGUUGAUUCCCAAAUAUUAGCAGCAGCCAGAAUGUUUAUAAAAUUGUUUCGUAACGUUACUAGAAGGCUUUAUGAAAUUCCUACGGAGACAAAUGUAUUUUAUAAAAUGGUGCCAAUUUUACGCUAGUAGCUGUUGUAUACAAGCAUUGAAAACAUUUCCGAGACCAAGGAUAUUUUAUAACAUUACCAUUCAAAACGUUUUGGCAACAGUUACAAAAUAUGAAAUUGCUAGUUGGGGUGGCAGUCAACGUGUUA
Harmonia axyridis is the source of this 375-nucleotide long non-coding RNA. RefSeq lists it as uncharacterized. The record is from RefSeq and is a predicted model, not a curated record. Lineage: Eukaryota; Metazoa; Arthropoda; Insecta; Coleoptera; Coccinellidae. The transcript is spliced from 2 exons.